This 499-nucleotide ribosomal RNA is filed under the name uncultured Glomeromycotina. RNAcentral's name for it is "partial small subunit ribosomal RNA". It matches the Rfam family "Eukaryotic small subunit ribosomal RNA", at positions 591 to 1092 of the family's 1831-position model. The record is from RNAcentral. Lineage: Eukaryota; Fungi; Glomeromycota.
CCAAUAGCGUAUAUUAAAGUUGCUGCAGUUAAAAAGCUCGUAGUUGAAUUUCGGGACCAAUAUGUCGGUCGUUCUUCGGUACGUACUGGCAUCGUCGGUUUCUCCUUUCUGAAGAACCAUGAUGUCAUUAAUUUGGUGUCUUGGGGAAUCAGGACUGUUACUUUGAAAAAAUUAGAGUGUUUAAAGCAGGCUCACGCUUGAAUACAUUAGCAUGGAAUAAUGAAAUAGGACGUUUGAUUCUAUUUUGUUGGUUUCUAGGAUCGACGUAAUGAUUAAUAGGGAUAGUUGGGGGCAUUAGUAUUCAAUUGUCAGAGGUGAAAUUCUUGGAUUUAUUGAAGACUAACUACUGCGAAAGCAUUUGCCAAGGAUGUUUUCAUUAAUCAAGAACGAAAGUUAGGGGAUCGAAGACGAUCAGAUACCGUCGUAGUCUUAACCAUAAACUAUGCCGACUAGGGAUCGGAUGAUGUUAAUUUUUUAAUGACUCAUUCGGCGCCUUACG